RNAcentral lists this long non-coding RNA (433 nucleotides) under Corvus moneduloides (New Caledonian crow). RNAcentral's name for it is "lncRNA (ENSCMUG00000018520.1)". Lineage: Eukaryota; Metazoa; Chordata; Aves; Passeriformes; Corvidae. The record is from RNAcentral.
CUGAGGUAGAUCGCAGAAACGCCAUGCCUAUGCUCUGUCUGUGAUAGGACAUCAUGCUGCACUCUGGCUGAAAAGACAUCCCAGUGCCUGGAGCAACACAGUCCUUUCUGUCCAUUACUGCUGGAAAUUCUGCCAGGGAAUUUCACUUUUAGAAUACAAAUAACUGCAGCCUUCAGUGCCUUUGAAGGGGACGGCCUUGCUGCUCUUCCCUUGCUCUUUUAUGGACUUACUUGGCAGAUGAAAGUUAUCUCCAUCAAGGAAAUAGUCUUGGGUUUGGCCACUUUUGAUUUGUAAUGUAUUUGAUAUUGUUUAUAACACUGCUAAAUAAACAGAAUGAUUACCAUGGAUUUGACUCCCUCUAAAACAGAAGGAAAUACUGUGUUACAUGGAAAUACAUGUAAUUUACGUUUAAUAAUUAGUACUUAUUAUGCAG